CAGGAAACUAUUCUUUGUUUUCCUAGAUGUUUGGAGAAGUGCAGUAAAAGCUCUAGUGAGAGAAGAAGGAGGUAGGAGAUAGCAUAAAAGAAAAAAGCCCAAUCAAAUUUUACUGUUGUAUAUCACAAUCUGUUGAUAAAUCUUAAAUAUUGUAUAGUGCUUGUUCAGUCAAAAAGGCAGUUUCAAGUAUGUUGAUUUAACUCUUCCAAUAAUUGCUCAAAGUUAUCAAACAUGUUGAGACCAGGCCCAGGUUUUCUGAACUCAGAGCACUUCCUUUUUCAGUAUACUGUUAACCUAAAACAAAAAAGCAGCCAGUUAUUUUACCAGCAAAACAGGUUUACUUGGGAGCAGCAAAGAAAUGCAGAUCAGGACUUGCCAUUAUGAUGAACCUCAUGCCAGCCCAGUAAGGUAAAGGCAGGUAAACACUUUUAUAGAGGAAAAGAGGAAGUUGAGAGAGGAUUUUAUAAAGAAAAAGUCCAUUGGAGGAAACUAGGAGUUUGAAGUAUAGUGGCUUUUCAUUGGCUGAGUUAUGAUCAUCUCUCAUUGGCUGAGCUGUUACCAGGCAAGGAGAAAAUCUUUCUUCUUCCUGCUGGUGAUAGUAAAGUAGUGUGACUUCUUGCUGGAAGCGUGAGUACAUCCCUUCCCGUUGGUACAUCUGUGUUGACAUCAAGUGGUACAUGUGUGCGAGCUCUCCCUUCUGGUCUCCAGUUUAGUGAAGUUUCUCUUUAUUAAUUUUCGCAAUACCAGGAGUCUUUCUCACCCCUCCAGACUGGUGCUGAAUUACUGUCUAUAAGAACCAUGUGCAGCCUCUAACCCAAGGAUUAUUCUAGUGAGGGUGCAGGAUCUUUUCUCAUAAAUGCCCUCAGACACAUUCUGAACACACACACACACACACACACACACACACACACACACACACACACACACACACUGUUAUAUUCAACAACAGUAACAAUAACUAAAGAGAAUUGCUCUGCAGUUGACUUGCAGACUCAACUGACUGCUUGACUCAGUGUCAAGAAAAGAAAGGAAAUUACUUCUUGCCUUCUCUGGGGUAAGAGAUUUGACUAUUGAGAGUAAAAGUAACAGGAAAUCCACAUGUUACAAAGAUCAUAUGCCCAAAUAAACAAGUCCUUUCCAGUUAGUUAUCAACUGGUAUGAGUCACUUAUAUCCGUUUUCUCUCUUCUCACAUUCCCUUGUGAUACGGGGUGACAAACAAUAUAGUUUAGGAAUAACGCCCUUGAAGAGGAAAGCAGCAGAAUUCCUUAGUCCUUUCUGUAUUCAAGAAUCUUUUCUCUCCCAGUUUUUCUCUGUAUCAAUUAGAAAUACUACAAGAUGGCCAACUCCCCUUAUGAAUGGAUAACAACAGCCUUAAUCAUCACUGUCUCUUUUGAAUUGUGUCACAAGAUAUGGAUUUUUGUCAAAUCAUUGGGACUUCUUGUACUAACAUGUGGAAACUGAGGCUUCCAACCAAGAUGAAGUCAUUGGUUGAUGGCUGUCUUCCAAGGUUGUCAUUGUCAUCAUAAAGUUCUUUCCCAUGAUUACUCCCCACAUGCAGAGGCUGUGGUGAAGCGAAAAUCUCUGUCUUGCAUGAAGAAAACUUAAAUCUUAGAUGGCAACUAUAUGAAAGAGAUUCAAAUGUAAAUACUUUGUUCCCAUUACAAAAAAAUGAACAAACCAGGAGUUCCUGUUGUUGGGGAAGCAGAAAUGAAUCUGAUUAGUAUCUGUGAGGAGGUGGAUUCAAUCUCACGCCUUGCUCAGUGGGUCAGGGAUCCAGCGUUGCCAUGAGCUCUGGUGUAGAUUGCAGACAUGACUCGUAUCCCACGUUGUUGUGGCUGUAGCUCCAAUUCAAACCCUAUCCUGGGAACUUCUAUAUGCCACAGAUGUGACCCUGGAAACCAAAAAAAACCAAAAACCAAAAAACAACCCAAACCCCCGAACAAACCAACUUUCAAGUGUAUUUGUCAAACUCUAGUUCUAUAAUUUACUGGGGGUAUGAACUUGGUUAAGUGACUUAACCUCUUUGAGCUUGAGUGUUCUCUCGGAAGUGGGGGGAAUAUCUCCUGCACAGAGUUUAGGGAGAAUUAGAAGAGAUACUGCAAGUGAAACAGGUACUAAACAUUCAGAUAUCUGUACACAGCCCAGCCCCAUCUCUCAAUACUCUCCCACUUCCUAGAAUUAUAACUAGUUCUUCACAAAAUAUUACUUAAAAAAUUAAAAUAUUUGGUGAGAGAAAUAACUUUGCAGGUGCUAAUGUUAUUUUUGUUCUGCUCUGCAAAGACAAGACAGGACUGGACAGUCUUUCCCCAAAGCCUAAUUAGAGUUUUUCCAUGACUGUAUUUGUGUUUGUUUUUGCUUCUUUUGUUCAAGUUAGGUCUUCAGGCGACCGAAAUGAAAUUCUCGCCAAAGAGGCAUCCUUUGUAGCAGUGAUGACACAAAUUACAUUGUUCUCCAGGGUUUAAAACACCCAGCCAUUAAAUUUAACUACGUGAACUUGGCAGAUCUUUUCAAAAACAAAGCAGCUGUUUCCCUUUUGUUCACUUUUUUUUUUUUUUUUUUAAAGCUCACCAGCUUAAAGAUGUACACACCCCUCUUGCAAACCCAGGAGAUACCAUGAAGUAGUGUGAAGGUACACAGUGAUUAAAAGAGAAUGAGACGUUUAAUUUUUAUUUUUGAGCAAUACAGUACUAUUUGUUAAGCAAUAUAGUGCUUAUGGUGUGUCAGCCACUGAUCCAAGCCUUUAUAAACAAUAAGUUGUGUUUAUGAAUAAUAGUACCACCUAGGGUAGGUUCUAUUAUUAUUCCCAUUUUACAGAUGGAGAGCCUGCAGCAUGGACAUUGGACAACUUGCCCAAGAUCAUGAGGCUCUAAUAGGUAGAGCUGGCUCCAUGGUCCGUGGUUUUGCAGAGUUCUCUCAUUUGCUGUUUAUUCUCUUUAUUUCAUUUAGUCUUUACCAUUUAUAUAAUUGCCCUCUGUUGUUCAUACUCAUCACGGUAAAGUCCUUGCUUCCAUUACCCCUCAGGCAACUAACUCCCUACUCCAGCAAAGAUGGCACUCCCUAAUUGGUCACCACCAUUGCGGUUGCCCACGGGUGUACCUUUCCAAGGGGUAGGGAGUGGGUAGGAAACUCGACUCUGGUCAGUAAUUUAUAAGAUGACACACAGCUCAGACUGUGGGCAACGUAGUUACAGAGGCAGAGCCCACAGCCACAACCCCACUUAGUGCCACCCAGGGGUCAUUUUUUCAGAUCUCUGUGCUCAGUCCUUCCUGCCUGUGACACUCUCAGUUCCCACGUCUGUUUGAUGUCUACAGGAGUAUGAGAUUACGUCACUACUGCCCCUGGUCAAGGCAGGGCCUUUGAGUGAAUUGGAGGGGGCAAAUUGUGUACGAGGGUAUGUAGAUGUUGUUUGUGGGCAAAGCAUAUGCUCACUCUGGGUCAUAAAUAACUUCAGACUUCAACUGCAGUGUCCUGGCCCAAUCACUGUUCCUCAAAGUUCCACAGGUCAAUGCAUUAAGAUGCUUACACCUACAAAGGACCAGGAGAGAUGUAUAGAACUAUACCAGGCUCCCUACCUUCUUUGAUCAAUGUCAACAGCAAGUGUCAGCCUAUCAUAAUACACCAACAAUAGAGUUAAGCCUGGUACAUUGGAGAGCAGAGGGGAGAACCACCCAUCUCAGUGGGGAACUUUCUUUAAAAGCUACCCAACAAAAAUAUACAAUGGAGAAGACAGUCUUUUCAAUAAAUGGUGCUGGGAAAACUGGACAGAUACAUGUAAAAGAAUGAAAUUAGAGGAGUUCCCUGGUGGCCUAGCAGUUAAGGAUUCAGCAUUGUCAUUGAUGUGGGUCAGGUUUGACCCCUGGCCUAGGAACUUCCAUUUGCCUUAAGUGCGGCCAAAGAAAAGAAAAAAGAAAAAGAAGUUCGAAAAUUCUCUAAUACCAUACACAAAAAUAAACUCAAGAUGGAUUAAAGACCUAAAUGUAAGGCCAGAUAGUAUAAAACUCCUAGAGGAAAACAGGCAGAACACUCUUUAACAUAAAUCAUAGCAAUAUUUCUGGGGAUCUGUCCUCUAAAGAGGAGAUAAAAGCAAAAAUAAACAAAUGAGACCUAAUUAAACUUAAAAGGUUUUGCAUAGCAAAGGAAACGAUCAAUGAAAUGAGAAGACACCCUACUGAAUGGGAGAAAAUAUUUGCAAAUGAUGUCACCGACAAGGGGCUAAUAUCUAACAUAUAUAUAUGCAGCUCAUAUAACUCAACAUCAAAAAAACCAAUCAACCUGAUUUUAAAAGGGUAGAACCGAAUAGAUGUUAUUCCAAAGAAGAAAUGCAGAUGGCCAACAGGCACAUGAAAAUAUACUCAACAUCAUCCUGAAAAUCAUCAAGGAAACGCUAACCAAAACUACAGUGAGAUAUCACCUCAUACCUGUCAGAAUGGU
RNAcentral lists this long non-coding RNA (4432 nucleotides) under Sus scrofa (pig). RNAcentral describes it as "lncRNA (ENSSSCG00000058737.1)". Lineage: Eukaryota; Metazoa; Chordata; Mammalia; Artiodactyla; Suidae. The record is from RNAcentral.